UACGGGGGGGGCAAGCGUUGUUCGGAAUUACUGGGCUUAAAGGGUUUGUAGGCGGCCUUGUAAGUCAGGUGUGAAAGCCCUCGGCUCAACCGAGGAACAGCGCUUGAUACUGCAAGGCUUGAGGGAGACAGGGGUAAGCGGAACUGAUGGUGGAGCGGUGAAAUGCGUUGAUAUCAUCAGGAACACCGGUGGCGAAAGCGGCUUACUGGGUCUCUUCUGACGCUGAGGAACGAAAGCUAGGGUAGCGAACGGG
RNAcentral lists this ribosomal RNA (253 nucleotides) under uncultured bacterium. RNAcentral describes it as "partial 16S ribosomal RNA". It matches the Rfam family "Bacterial small subunit ribosomal RNA", at positions 524 to 776 of the family's 1533-position model. The record is from RNAcentral.